AUACUACUCCCUCCGUCCGGAAAUACUUGUCAUCAAAAUGAAUAAAAGGGGAUGUAUCUAGAUGUAUUUUAGUUCUAGAUACAUCCUUUUCUAUCCAUUUUGAUGACAAGUAUUUUCGGACGGAGGGAGUACUAA
Molecule: non-coding RNA, 135 nt
Organism: Triticum urartu
Lineage: Eukaryota; Viridiplantae; Streptophyta; Magnoliopsida; Poales; Poaceae
Source: Rfam